AGUGAACGCUGGCGGUAGGCCUAACACAUGCAAGUCGAACGGCAGCACAGUAAGAGCUUGCUCUUACGGGUGGCGAGUGGCGGACGGGAGAGGAAUACAUCGGAAUCUACUUUUUCGUGGGGGAUAACGUAGGGAAACUUACGCUCAUACCGCAUACGACCUACGGGUGAAAGCAGGGGAACUUCUGACCUGGCGGGAGUGAAUGAGCCGAUUGCGGAUUAGCUAGUUGGCGGGGUAAAGGCCCACCAAGGCGACGAUCGGCAGCAGGCCUGAGAGGGUGACCGGCCACAUUGGGACUGAGCGACGGCCCAGACGCGAACGGGAGGCAGCAGGGGGGAAUAUUGCACAAUGGGCGGAAGCCAGAGGCAGCAACGCCGCGUGCGGGAUGACGGCCUUCGGGUUGUAAACCGCUUUCGCCUGGUACGAAGCGUGAGUGACGGUAAUGGGUAAAGAAGCACCGGCUAACUACGUG
RNAcentral lists this ribosomal RNA (472 nucleotides) under uncultured bacterium. Its description in RNAcentral is "partial 16S ribosomal RNA". It matches the Rfam family "Bacterial small subunit ribosomal RNA", at positions 30 to 507 of the family's 1533-position model. The record is from RNAcentral.